GCCGCGUGAGUGAUGAAGGUUUUCGGAUCGUAAAGCUCUGUUGUUAGGGAAGAACAAGUGCGGGAGUCACUGCCCGCGCCUUGACGGUACCUAACCAGAAAGCCACGGCUAACUACGUGCCAGCAGCCGCGGUAAUACGUAGGUGGCAAGCGUUGUCCGGAAUUAUUGGGCGUAAAGCGCGCGCAGGCGGUCUUUUAAGUCUGAUGUGAAAGCCCCCGGCUCAACCGGGGAGGGUCAUUGGAAACUGGAGGACUUGAGUGCAGAAGAGGAGAGUGGAAUUCCACGUGUAGCGGUGAAAUGCGUAGAGAUGUGGAGGAACACCAGUGGCGAAGGCGACUCUCUGGUCUGUAACUGACGCUGAGGCGCGAAAGCGUGGGGAGCGAACAGGAUUAGAUACCCUGGUAGUCCACGCCGUAAACGAUGAGUGCUAAGUGUUAGAGGGUUUCCGCCCUUUAGUGCUGCAGCUAACGCAUUAAGCACUCCGCCUGGGGAGUACGGUCGCAAGACUGAAACUCAAAGGAAUUGACGGGGGCCCGCACAAGCGGUGGAGCAUGUGGUUUAAUUCGAAGCAACGCGAAGAACCUUACCAGGUCUUGACAUCCUCUGCCACUUCUAGAGAUAGAAGGUUCCCCUUCGGGGGACAGAGUGACAGGUGGUGCAUGGUUGUCGUCAGCUCGUGUCGUGAGAUGUUGGGUUAAGUCCCGCAACGAGCGCAACCCUUGAUCUUAGUUGCCAGCAUUCAGUUGGGCACUCUAAGGUGACUGCCGGUGACAAACCGGAGGAA
RNAcentral lists this ribosomal RNA (784 nucleotides) under Bacillus sp. NH20E. Its description in RNAcentral is "bacterial SSU rRNA". It matches the Rfam family "Bacterial small subunit ribosomal RNA", at positions 396 to 1171 of the family's 1533-position model. The record is from RNAcentral. Lineage: Bacteria; Bacillati; Bacillota; Bacilli; Caryophanales; Bacillaceae.